UACGUAGGGUGCGAGCGUUGUCCGGAAUUAUUGGGCGUAAAGAGCUUGUAGGCGGUUUGUCGCGUCUGCUGUGAAAAUCCGGGGCGUCAACCCCGGACUUGCAGUGGGUACGGGCAGACUAGAGUGUGGUAGGGGAGACUGGAAUUCCUGGUGUAGCGGUGAAAUGCGCAGAGUAUCAGGAGGAACACCGAUGGCGAAGGCAGGUCUCUGGGCCACUACUGACGCUGAGAAGCGAAAGCAUGGGGAGCGAACAGG
This 255-nucleotide ribosomal RNA is filed under the name uncultured bacterium. Its description in RNAcentral is "partial 16S ribosomal RNA". It matches the Rfam family "Bacterial small subunit ribosomal RNA", at positions 524 to 776 of the family's 1533-position model. The record is from RNAcentral.